Cynoglossus semilaevis (tongue sole) is the source of this 1525-nucleotide RNA transcript. It is a transcript of the gene named THAP domain-containing protein 6-like, with no coding region annotated. The transcript has 5 exons. The record is from RefSeq and is a predicted model, not a curated record. NCBI's taxonomy places the organism in Eukaryota, Metazoa, Chordata, Actinopteri, Pleuronectiformes, Cynoglossidae.
UAAAGAGAGGACCCCGCAUUGGUUGCUGGGGCGCAAGGAAUGCGGCCGCCAUCUUGGAGCGGUCAUCCUACCGCAGAUAGUAGUAGAAACGAGAUGCCUGAGCACUGUGCGGCCAAUUCCUGCUUCAGUCGGCGGACUGUUGAAAACAGGGCUCGGGGAAUAACUUUUCACAAGUUUCCCAAAGACAAAGAGAUGAGGAGGAAGUGGGAAAUUUCUUUGCAGAGGGAAGAAUUCACUGCAAGUAAUACGUCUGUACUUUGCAGUGAACAUUUUAAGCAGGAUGAUUUUGAUAGGACGGGUCAGAUUGUCCGACUCAGAAAUGAGGUUAUACCAUCCAUCUUCAGCUUCCCAGUUCACCUCCAAAGAGUAGCCAGAAAAGCGCAGGACUACGUCUACCUCCAGAAGAGCUGGAGAUGGGCUGUCCGUGGCCUCUCAGGAUGUCCCUUCAUCCACACACCCACAACCUCAGCCUAAUGAUGAUCAUGGCUACGCCUUGCCCACUUCUCCGUUCUCUCUUAAGACCAGACUCAGUGAAGCCUUGGCAAGAGUGGAAAGUCUAGAACGAGACAAAAAGAACUCCAUGGCCAGAGAAAAGAGGGCAAAGACCACAGUAAGGAAUCUUUUGGGAGAUUUGAGGGAGAAGAACGUCAUUAAUGAAGAGCUCAAACUGAAGCUCGACUUGUACUCUGAUCUUCAGUUAGACUUCGUGGCAAAGCAGGGCCAUAAGUACACAAAGGACUACAGAGAGUUCGCCCUCACACUUCAUCUACACGGUCCAAAGGCAUACAAGUACCUCAGAGAGACUCAACAUUUUCCCCUUCCACAUCCACAUACAUUACUAAGGUGGUCUUAAUGUUGUCCAAUGUAAUUGUUGGAAACAUUUCAGCCAUUGUGUGUGACACAAAUUAUUGUCCCACCCGGUUUGGUGGUCUGGUGGAAAAUGCUCUGGUCUACAAGGCAGGAUUUGUAGUCUGGCAGAAUCUGCAAAAGCUAUAGUGCGACGUGUGCCACACAAGCUUGGUCAUCUUUAGAAGAGCUACCACCUUCUAGCCCUGAAACACAACGCUGGCCUUGUGAUUGUUUUCACAGGGGCACAGAGAAGGUGGAGAGAGCUGUAGAGACGGUGAUUCACCGAGCUUCAACCAAGCAAACUCCAAAGGUGUCAACAGUCGCACACACCGUCCGCAAGGAGAUUGGAUUGGAUUUCUAUAUUUAUAUUUUCUGUUAUCUUAAACUUCUGUCCAUUGUAUUAUAUUAUAUAGACAUAGUGUAGUCUACUCUUUAUCUCUAUUGUCUUUAUCAUCAUAGUGGACUUUGUAUUUAGUUUUGUUCUAAAUAAAGGUUUGAAUGUUUUCUCAGUAGACUUCGUCAACAAAGUUGUGUUGUACACCAUCAUCAUGCACGGAAGUUUCAAGAAGAAAAAAAUAAAUGUUGCAUUUGGAGCUUCACCUGGUAGUAUUUAUUCCAUUCACAAUAUGUGAGCUGAGCUGAAUGUAUAGCCUUAAGUGUGCAUACAGUAUGUAAG